UACAGAGGUCUCAAGCGUUGUUCGGAUUCAUUGGGCGUAAAGGGUGCGCAGGUGGCGCGAUAAGUCGGGUAUGAAAUCUCGGGGCUUAACUGCGAGAAUGCAUUCGAUACUGCCGUGCUUGAGGACUGGAGAGGAGACUGGAAUUCAUGGUGUAGCAGUGAAAUGCGUAGAGAUCAUGAGGAAGACCAGUGGCGAAGGCGGGUCUCUGGACAGUUCCUGACACUGAGGCACGAAGGCCAGGGGAGCAAACGGG
This 253-nucleotide ribosomal RNA is filed under the name uncultured bacterium. Its description in RNAcentral is "partial 16S ribosomal RNA". It matches the Rfam family "Bacterial small subunit ribosomal RNA", at positions 524 to 776 of the family's 1533-position model. The record is from RNAcentral.